Molecule: ribosomal RNA, 1314 nt
Filed under: uncultured Alphaproteobacteria bacterium
Lineage: Bacteria; Pseudomonadati; Pseudomonadota; Alphaproteobacteria
Description: uncultured alpha proteobacterium 16S ribosomal RNA
Rfam family: Bacterial small subunit ribosomal RNA
Source: RNAcentral
ACGCUGGCGGCACGCCUAACACAUGCAAGUCGAACGAAGUAGCAAUACUUAGUGGCAGACGGGUGAGUAACAUGUAGGUAUCUGCCCUUUGGCCUGGAAUAACACGAGGAAACUUGUGCUAAUACCGGAUAAGUCUUUACGGAGAAAGCUUUAUGCACCAUUGGAUGAGCCUGCACUUGAUUAGUUUGUUGGUGGGGUAAUGGCCUACCAAGACUGUGAUCAAUAGCUGAUUUGAGAGGAUGAUCAGCCACAUUGGGACUGAGACACGGCCCAAACUCCUACGGGAGGCAGCAGUGGGGAAUCUUGCACAAUGGAGGAAACUCUGAUGCAGCGAUGCCGCGUGAGUGAAGAAGGCCUUUGGGUUGUAAAGCUCUUUCGUCGGGGAAGAAAAUGACUGUACCCGAAUAAGAAGGUCCGGCUAACUUCGUGCCAGCAGCCGCGGUAAUACGAAGGGACCUAGCGUAGUUCGGAAUUACUGGGCUUAAAGAGUUCGUAGGUGGUUGAAAAAGUUAGUGGUGAAAUCCCAGAGCUUAACUCUGGAACUGCCAUUAAAACUUUUCAGCUAGAGUAUGAUAGAGGAAAGCAGAAUUUCUAGUGUAGAGGUGAAAUUCGUAGAUAUUAGAAAGAAUACCAAUUGCGAAGGCAGCUUUCUGGAUCAUUACUGACACUGAGGAACGAAAGCAUGGGUAGCGAAGAGGAUUAGAUACCCUCGUAGUCCAUGCCGUAAACGAUGUGUGUUAGACGUUGGAAAUUUAUUUUCAGUGUCGCAGGGAAACCGAUAAACACACCGCCUGGGGAGUACGACCGCAAGGUUAAAACUCAAAUGAAUUGACGGGGACCCGCACAAGUAGUGGAGCAUGUGGUUUAAUUCGAAGAUACGCGCAGAACCUUACCAACACUUGACAUGUUCGUCGCAACUCUAAGAGAUUAGAGUUUUCGGUUCGGCCGGACGAAACACAGGUGCUGCAUGGCUGUCGUCAGCUCGUGUCGUGAGAUGUUGGGUUAAGUCCCGCAACGAGCGCAACCCUCACUUUUAGUUGCCAUCAUUAAGUUGGGCACUCUGAAAGAACUGCCAGUGAUAAGCUGGAGGAAGGUGGGGAUGACGUCAAGUCCUCAUGGCCCUUACGUGUUGGGCUACACACGUGCUACAAUGGUAUCUACAACAGGAAGCAAGACGGCGACGUCAAGCAAAUCCCUAAAAGAUACCUCAGUUCGGAUUGCACUCUGCAACUCGAGUGCAUGAAGCUGGAAUUACUAGUAAUCGUGGAUCAGCGUGCCACGGUGAAUGCGUUCCCGGGUCUUGCACUCACCGCC